RNAcentral lists this long non-coding RNA (995 nucleotides) under Gossypium raimondii (Peruvian cotton). Its description in RNAcentral is "long non-coding RNA (GRAI_LNC007996)". Lineage: Eukaryota; Viridiplantae; Streptophyta; Magnoliopsida; Malvales; Malvaceae. The record is from RNAcentral.
CUUUAAACAUCACAAAUCUGCAAACCAAAAUCCAAAUAACUUUCUUCUCUGAUCUCUAACAUUGACUGUCAUAUUCACUUGGAUUUAAAGUAUGUUCUUCUACUCAUUGAUGAGUACUGAUCUACUAAACUAUACUGAUCAUCAAAUCGUCGCUUAGAGCUCACUAAUUGGAUCAUUUUAAAAAAAAAACUUAAUAGCUCAGUGACUUAAAUAAAAUAAAAAACUUUUGAAUAGUUCAGUGACCAUUUUGUAACUUUCUAAAGUUGAGUGGCUAAAACGGAAACUUGCUAAUAAUUCAGUGACCUUGGAUGGAGUUUACCCAAUAUUUAUAACAAUAUAUAUCAUCGAUCGUUUAUUUCACUUGAAGUUGGAGGCACAUCAAAACAAAAGGCGACAGAGGAGAAAGAGGUAAUUGAUUAGGUGAUAGCAGGAAGAUGCAGGGCCAUACUCAUGAUCAACUAACCCACCAAGCCCAUCACUCACACGCAGCGCAACCUCAUGUACCACACCCAGCGCCACCGCAUGUAUCAAAUCACCCGCCCCCAGGGCCGCCACCUCCACAGCCUUCAUAUGUACCAGCGGGUCCUGAUCCACCUUCAGUGCCUGCAUAUGCACCACCAGGUCCUCCUCCUUCUCAUCACCACCAUGGUCCACCACCACCUUCUGUGCCCGCAUAUGCACCACCUGGUCCUCUUCCAUCACGCCCCCAAGUCCCCCCUCGGCCACCUCAGGAGCAAGGCUGCUGUGUGAUAAUAUAAGUAAGAUUUGCAAAUGUAGUUGAUGUUGACAUUAAUUAAAUAAAGUAGUGUUAAUUUUGCUGAGUUAUUUAGAUAGAAUCGGGUUUGUAGUUCAUAUUUGUAUGUAUGGUAAUGGUAAUGGUAGCUUCAUCAGGCCCUUCUCCUGUGGCAUUUUUAUGGUAUCUUGGUCUUAAUAAAAUGAAUUUUAAUUAGUAUGGUAUUGCUUCCAUUUUUAUAUUGCUUUAUAUCGAUUCAUCC